This is a small nuclear RNA of Copidosoma floridanum, 156 nucleotides long. RefSeq annotates it as U12 minor spliceosomal RNA. The record is from RefSeq and is a predicted model, not a curated record. NCBI's taxonomy places the organism in Eukaryota, Metazoa, Arthropoda, Insecta, Hymenoptera, Encyrtidae.
GUGCCUUAAACUAAUGAGUAAGGAAAAUAUGUGGCUUUGGUAACGCUUAGCAAUGUCUUAGUACAUACAGGCGAACCUAUUUUUGAAGAGGCUCAGGUCGUCCCGAGGCUGCUUGAACUACUUUUUCAGGCGUGCUACGGUGAAGCGAUCUACCUC